Molecule: ribosomal RNA, 515 nt
Filed under: Parnassius arcticus
Lineage: Eukaryota; Metazoa; Arthropoda; Insecta; Lepidoptera; Papilionidae
Also listed under: 1 other name
Description: partial 16S ribosomal RNA
Rfam family: Bacterial large subunit ribosomal RNA (bases 388-515)
Source: RNAcentral
GUCUUUUUGAUUAAUAAUUUAAAGUCUAAUCUGCCCACUGAUAAUUUAUUAAAGGGCUGCAGUAUUUUGACUGUACAAAGGUAGCAUAAUCAUUAGUCUCUUAAUUGGUGACUUGUAUGAAAGAUUUGAUGAGAUAUAUACUGUCUCUUUUUAAUUUAUAAAAUUUAAUUUUUUAGUUAAAAAGCUAAAAUAAAUUUAAAAGACGAGAAGACCCUAUAGAGUUUUAUAUUUAAUUAAAUUAAAAUUUUUUAUAAGUUUUAAAAUUUUAAUUUAAAUAAAUAUUUUGUUGGGGUGACAGAAAAAUUAAAAUAACUUUUUUUAAAAAUAUACAUUUAUAAAUGGAUAAAUGAUCCGUAAUUUACGAUUAUAAGAAAAAAUUACCUUAGGGAUAACAGCGUAAUUUUUUUUUUUAGUUCAAAUAAGAAAAAAAGUUUGCGACCUCGAUGUUGGAUUAAGAUAAAAUUUAAAUGCAAAAGUUUAAAAUUUUUGAUCUGUUCGAUCAUUAAAAUCUUACA